Bos taurus (domestic cattle) is the source of this 1821-nucleotide long non-coding RNA. The record is from Ensembl. Lineage: Eukaryota; Metazoa; Chordata; Mammalia; Artiodactyla; Bovidae.
GAAAAAGCCCCAUUGAACUACAAGCUAUAAGUACUACCUGGGCAGUUUGGAAUUCUUUUAUGUAAAGUCCAGCAGACAUGAAGUAUAAUCACCAUUUUUAAGGGAUACAUCACACUGAUAAUUCACAGGAGAAGACUAUUUUUUGUCAGUUACACCUAAUAAAGACUGUUACUUAACAGGGACAGGGAGGGAUAUGUGUGGAACUCACGUGACUCAGUUUUUCCUCAGGAAGAGAAGCCCACUGUGUGUGUGGAGGUGCUGCUUCCUUCACAAGUUUGGAGAAGUAGAUCCACGUGGAGCAAGCAGUGGACUAUGGCAGACGUGGAGAUGUGCCAUUCAAAUCCAUUCCAAGAAAAAAAACUCAUAAGCCAGCUGCAAAGGGUGUGGUUAGUGGAUGGUCUAUGGCUUUCAGCAAUUUGAGGGUCCUUUGUAGCUUUUAAGGUGAGGCCACAUUCUUCUUAGGGCAUCACUUUAGGCAAUGAGUGAGCAGAAUGAUAGCCAAGAUUACACUCUUCUCAUGGUCAACCCAGGCCAAAGACUGAGCAGUGGUGUGGUACAAGGGUAUAGCCAUUUUUGUCUAAUGAGGGACUUCUCUAAUGGACCAUCUUUGUCCCCAAAUCCAUAUUGGGCUACUGAGGACUUCACUGGGCCUCCAACAGAGUCAGAUAGCUCCCUCUGCCCUCUCCUGCUUCUCCUCCUUUUCCUUUCAUAGAUGGUACUCCGCAGUAAGCGCUUUCUUUGUUCUCCUGCCUCAGCCUCAGCAUCUACAUAGAACCCAACCUGCACAGGUAUCUUCCACAGUUACUGUCCUAUUUAUCUUUAAAUGAUCGCCAUAUAAUAGUCUUCUUGUUGAGAUUUUCAAAUUGCUUGAAACAGAAUUGUUAGAGUCUUCACCAUUUAUCCUAGUACUAUAGAUGAUGCAUGUGUCUGUAUGUGUGUUUUACUGAGUUGCUUUGCUAAGGGCCUUUUUUAACUCUUUACAAAAAAAGAAACAGAUCUAGGAUGGAUUUAUCAUUUCUAUUCAUUUUCUGGUGUGUAUCUCUUUAGCUGUUUUGUUCAUAGUUAAAUCCUUCCUACUGACUUCCUUUGGUUUAUUUUGUAAAUCUCCUUAGUUUCUGGUGCUGAAUGUUUAAUGAAUUUUUUUUUUAUUCUUUCUCUUCAAUAAAAAACUUUUUCAUUAUACUUUUAAGUUUAUAUGUUUAUCUCUUUUGGUUGCGCUGAGUCUUUGCUGCUGCACAAGCUUUUCUCAAGUUGUGGCGAGUGAGGACUGCUCUCUAGUUGCAGUGGGCAGACUUCUCUGUGGUGGCUUCUCUUGUUGUGGGGCACGGGCUUCGAUAGUUUCAGUGCAUGGGCUCAGUAAUUGUGAGCUCCCUCCCCGGCUCUAGAGGACAGGCUCAAUAAUUGUGGAACAGGGGAUUAGUUGCUCCAAGGCAUGUGGGAUCUUCCUGGAGUAGGGAUUGAACCCAUGUCUCCUGCAUUGGCGGGUGGAUUCUUUACCACUGAGCCACUAGAGAAGCCCCAAUAAUUUUUAUCUGCUCUCAACUUGGUACACAACUCAGUCACUUGGACUAAUUUUUACAUUUCUCAAAAAGGCUUUAUGGUAGCAUAUAUUUAGUCUUUGUGUAUCUUUAAAUAUUUUCUGUUCUCUUCAAAAAAAGAAAAAGUAAACUGUUGUAACCUAGAAGCUACAAAUCUACAGACAUAGGUCUUUAUAUAAUAAAUGUAUAAGUUGUUUUAUAACUUUGUACAAUAAAGUUGUAUUGUAUAUUGUCAGAAAACAUUCUUCUACUAUAUAGUUAAUUGUGGCCUUUUCUUUAUUUG